UUUUUGGUGGUAUAGUGGUGAGCAUACCUGCCUUCCAAGCAGUUGAUCUGAGUUCGAUUUCCGGCCAACACA
RNAcentral lists this transfer RNA (72 nucleotides) under Loxodonta africana (African savanna elephant). It matches the Rfam family "tRNA". Rfam says of the family: Transfer RNA (tRNA) molecules are approximately 80 nucleotides in length. Their secondary structure includes four short double-helical elements and three loops (D, anti-codon, and T loops). The record is from Rfam by way of RNAcentral. Lineage: Eukaryota; Metazoa; Chordata; Mammalia; Proboscidea; Elephantidae.